This 199-nucleotide long non-coding RNA is filed under the name Elaeis guineensis (African oil palm). RNAcentral describes it as "long non-coding RNA (EGUI_LNC034022)". Lineage: Eukaryota; Viridiplantae; Streptophyta; Magnoliopsida; Arecales; Arecaceae. The record is from RNAcentral.
AGUUAAUAUGAAAAUCGUUUACCAUUGUGCUUCAAUUAUAAUUAGAUGGGGAAGAUUUAGAUAUUUUAGUACAUCCCUAAAAUAGCCAUAUGAUGAGAGCUAAUUGGCCUAUGUGAAGAGGCUUGAUGGCAAGCUCUUGUUGUUCAAUUUUACUAUAUCGGUUAUAGUCGGUUUCGAGAUAUAUGAGAUACCAUGCUGC